GAUGAACGCUGGCGGCGUGCCUAAUACAUGCAAGUCGAGCGAACAGACGAGGAGCUUGCUCCUCUGACGUUAGCGGCGGACGGGUGAGUAACACGUGGAUAACCUACCUAUAAGACUGGGAUAACUUCGGGAAACCGGAGCUAAUACCGGAUAAUAUAUUGAACCGCAUGGUUCAAUAGUGAAAGACGGUUUUGCUGUCACUUAUAGAUGGAUCCGCGCCGCAUUAGCUAGUUGGUAAGGUAACGGCUUACCAAGGCAACGAUGCGUAGCCGACCUGUGAGGGGGAUCGGCCACACUGGAGCUGGGACACGGUCCAGACUCCUACGGGAGGCAGCAGUAGGGAAUGUUCCGCAAUGGGCGAAAGCCUGACGGAGCAACGCCGCGUGAGUGAUGAAGGUCUUGGGAUCGUAAAACUCUGUUAUUAGGGAAGAACAAAUGUGUAAGUAGCUAUGCACGUCUUGACGGUACCUAAUCAGGAAGCCACGGCUAACUACGUG
RNAcentral lists this ribosomal RNA (497 nucleotides) under uncultured bacterium. RNAcentral describes it as "partial 16S ribosomal RNA". It matches the Rfam family "Bacterial small subunit ribosomal RNA", at positions 28 to 507 of the family's 1533-position model. The record is from RNAcentral.